GUACUUUCAGUUAGAAAAAGAACAAAAUGUUUUGCUUUUCCAACAGUAAUGUGUAGUGUACAGGUUCCUGUAAUAAUGGAAAUAACUUGAAUAUAAUAAUAAUAUUUUUGAUCUGGACAUAGUGGUGUAUGCCUGUAAUUCCGGUGCCAUGGGGAGCUGAGGUAGAAGAAUCCCAAAUUUGAGGCCAGCCUAGGCAAUUUAGUGAGACUGCCCCUCAAAAUAAAAAGGGCUAAGGAUGUAGAUGAGUGGUAGAGUGUCCCUUAGUGAAUCCCCAGUACAACCCAAGGCAGGGGAAAGUAUUUUUUUGUGGGGAGUAAGGCCUGUGGGAUGUAGCUCAAUGGAAGAGUGCUUGCUUAGCAUGCUUGAGACCUUGGGUUUGAUUUCCAGGUGAGGGACAAGAGGGAAGGUGCUAAUCCUGGGUAUAUAUUAAUUAGCCAGUAACACUACAUAAUCUCACAGUUUGAGGGAGAAGUAGGUUGAUUAUAAUAUAUAUAUUUUAUGUUUUG
RNAcentral lists this long non-coding RNA (506 nucleotides) under Marmota monax (woodchuck). Lineage: Eukaryota; Metazoa; Chordata; Mammalia; Rodentia; Sciuridae. The record is from RNAcentral.